This 468-nucleotide ribosomal RNA is filed under the name uncultured bacterium. RNAcentral's name for it is "partial 16S ribosomal RNA". It matches the Rfam family "Bacterial small subunit ribosomal RNA", at positions 28 to 507 of the family's 1533-position model. The record is from RNAcentral.
GACGAACGCUGGCGGCGUGCUUAACACAUGCAAGUCGAACGGAAAGGCCCUGCUUUUGUGGGGUGCUCGAGUGGCGAACGGGUGAGUAACACGUGAGUAACCUGCCCUUGACUUUGGGAUAACUUCAGGAAAAUGGGGCUAAUAUAGGAUAGGAGCUCCUGCUGCAUGGUGGGGGUUGGAAAGUUUCGGCGGUUGGGGAUGGACUCGCGGCUUAUCAGCUUGUUGGUGGGGUAGUGGCUUACCAAGGCUUUGACGGGUAGCCGGCCUGAGAGGGUGACCGGCCACAUUGGGACUGAGAUACGGCCCAGACUCCUACGGGAGGCAGCAGUGGGGAAUAUUGCACAAUGGGCGGAAGCCUGAUGCAGCAACGCCGCGUGCGGGAUGACGGCCUUCGGGUUGUAAACCGCUUUCGCCUGUGACGAAGCGUGAGUGACGGUAAUGAGUAAAGAAGCACCGGCUAACUACGUG